Mustela lutreola (European mink) is the source of this 1489-nucleotide long non-coding RNA. RefSeq lists it as uncharacterized. The record is from RefSeq and is a predicted model, not a curated record. The transcript is spliced from 5 exons. NCBI's taxonomy places the organism in Eukaryota, Metazoa, Chordata, Mammalia, Carnivora, Mustelidae.
UAGUGCUUCCCCAGCCCAGCGGCUCGGGCGGCGCAGCCCGCGCUCGGGAAACAACUGCGGAGUCGGGCUGCUCGGGCCAGCCCCCUCCCUCGCCCGGCCCCCGCCCGCCGCCGCCGAGCGCGUAGCGAGCUCAACUCCAGUAUCUCUUCUUUAGGGAAUGGCUCUCCCAGCACCCCAUGCUUUUCCUGACAAACCCUGAUCUCACUCCGUGAUUUUGUGUCCUCUAGGAUGACCUUUCCGUAAGUGUCUGUGCGGAGUCGUGUACACAGCGAUCCGAUGGGCAUCCAGCGCAUACUACGUGGUGUCCAGUGAUGCCUUACUGGGUCUUUGUGGGGCAUUUGGAGCGACUAAGGCUUGGUGGCCAGAUGUCCCUUAAUAAUAGGUGGUUAAGCAAACUGGGACACAGCCAUGGAGCGUACCCAAGAAUGAGAAGGAGCCAGCCGCUGAGACCUGUAUCAGAUUGGAUGCACCUCCAGGAAAUGAUGCUGGGUGCAGAAGAUCAAACCAAGAAGGAAUUUAAGUGUCUUGAGAAUCUCUGCCCAUGAUGAAGCUGUUCGAGCCUUGCAGUGUAGGAUGUGUUGAGAGCUCCAAAAUAUAUUUUUGAAGACUUGGAAGAGGAGAUCGAACAUAAAUGAGAAGCAUUCAAAGCUUACGCAAAAAAGUUGAUAAACCUUCAAUAUGCAUUUUUCUUAGAAUUUGGAAGGAUGCUUUGGAACAUGUCAAUAAAAGAAGUGAGAAAACACAGACUCCUAAUUUGGAUGAAAAUGAACCUAUUGUGUCGUCUUUAAAUUUAUUAAAGAACUGAGAGCAGCAUAAGUGUACAGAAAUUGGAUUCCCAUGUCGUAUGCCCAAAGUGAAUGUAACAUGUGGUCAACUCUACUCCAGUGAACUAAUAUAAAAUAAUAAUGGGAAACCAAACAAAAAAGAGCUGAGAGCAAAUUAACGGAUUAUAUACAAAAUGUAAUUUAAAAAACCAUGAAAUUGAUAGAAAUCAUUCUGACGUUAAAGAUUAUGAAAAAAUUUUAAAGAAAUGUCAAAGGUAGAAAUUCAUUAAGAGAAAGAUAUUCUCUUUCUAAUGGAAGUGAUGACUAAGCCCUCAGAUUUUUUGAUAACUAGAUUAGUUAACUGAAAGGAUCAAACAUUUGUACACAUUGGGAAAAGAUAGAAGUUUCUUGCUGAUUUGCACACAAACAUGGAUAUCAACAAUAUAAUUUAAACUUAAAACACAUAAUAUAAUGAGGACAUCGACAGCAAAGUGGUUAAUGAGUUUCAUCAAUUCAGAGAAUUUGAGGACAGCAAGAUGAGUCACCGCCCAAGAAAACUCGGAAUACCCUGAAAUUUCACAGCUCAUAUAUAAACCUUCAGAAGUUUUUCUCAGUUUUGACAACAAUCCUGAAAUUUACACAGCCGCCCCAGAAAUUAGCAAGAAGUGCAAAGAAUUGGUUCUAAACUGUUAAGAAUAAAAAUAAAAUUUCUAUCCACCAUGGGA